GCGUGGGUGAUGAAGGCCUUCGGGUUGUAAAGCCCUUUUGGCAGGGACGAUGAUGACGGUACCUGCAGAAUAAGCCCCGGCUAACUUCGUGCCAGCAGCCGCGGUAAUACGAAGGGGGCUAGCGUUGUUCGGAAUUACUGGGCGUAAAGGGCGCGUAGGCGGUUUCGCUAGUCAGGCGUGAAAUCCCCAGGCUUAACCUGGGAAUUGCGCUUGAUACUUCGAGACUUGAGUGAGGGAGAGGAUAGUGGAAUUCCCAGUGUAGAGGUGAAAUUCGU
RNAcentral lists this ribosomal RNA (275 nucleotides) under uncultured bacterium. Its description in RNAcentral is "partial 16S ribosomal RNA". It matches the Rfam family "Bacterial small subunit ribosomal RNA", at positions 399 to 691 of the family's 1533-position model. The record is from RNAcentral.